GAAAGAAGCAUGGGAAACAAACCUCCAAAAUUUUGAAGAAUCAUGAUGAUUGAGAUAUGGGGCAUUGUAGGCAGAAAAUAAGCAACUUGUGGGCAAGAUAUACAAAAAGAAUUAAAAGAGUUCAAACAACGGUAUAAAAAGCUGAAGGAAGAGCAUGACUCAUUCCGCGACCUUGCUGAUAGAAUGAUUGGAAAGAAGGAUAAAGAAAUCUCUAAACUUGUU
Molecule: unclassified non-coding RNA, 222 nt
Filed under: Hevea brasiliensis (rubber tree)
Lineage: Eukaryota; Viridiplantae; Streptophyta; Magnoliopsida; Malpighiales; Euphorbiaceae
Source: RNAcentral